RNAcentral lists this ribosomal RNA (483 nucleotides) under uncultured bacterium. RNAcentral describes it as "partial 16S ribosomal RNA". It matches the Rfam family "Bacterial small subunit ribosomal RNA", at positions 30 to 507 of the family's 1533-position model. The record is from RNAcentral.
AUUGAACGCUGGCGGCAGGCCUAACACAUGCAAGUCGAGCGGAUGAAGGGAGCUUGCUCCUGGAUUCAGCGGCGGACGGGUGAGUAAUGCCUAGGAAUCUGCCUGGUAGUGGGGAUUAAGUUCGGGAACCGGGCCUUAAUCCCCCUUCGGUCUUAGGGAGAAAGGGGGGGGUUCUUCGACCCUCCCCCUACAGGUUAACCUAGGUUGGAUUAGCCAGUUGGUGGGGUAAGGGCCUACCAAGGCGACGAUCCGUAACUGGUCUGAGAGGAUGAUCAGUCACACUGGAACUGAGACACGGUCCAGACUCCUACGGGAGGCAGCAGUGGGGAAUAUUGGACAAUGGGCGAAAGCCUGAUCCAGCCAUGCCGCGUGUGGGAAGAAGGUCUUCGGAUGGUAAAGCACUUUAAGUUGGGAGGAAGGGCAGUAAGUUAAUACCUUGCUGUUUUGACGUUACCAACAGAAUAAGCACCGGCUAACUUCGUG